Prunus persica (peach) is the source of this 266-nucleotide long non-coding RNA. RefSeq lists it as uncharacterized. The transcript has 3 exons. The record is from RefSeq and is a predicted model, not a curated record. Lineage: Eukaryota; Viridiplantae; Streptophyta; Magnoliopsida; Rosales; Rosaceae.
CGUCUAGCCGCCCGCCUAGGCCCAUUUUUUAGAGUCUAAAGCACAAGAUUCCGAGGAUAGACUCGAAACGGUUGCCUCUCAGGCUCAAAAGAUGGCUGACAUUGUUACAGAACAAUGGAUUCAAAUUUAGCGCCUUGAGCAGGUUCUUCAUAUUACAUAAAACCAAAGGCUCCUCUUGGUUAGCAGAAUUCAAAGGAAUAUGGUUCCAGUGACCAGCUAGUAGAUGCAGCUUUGCCUGCUACUGAGGUCAAAUCAUCAGAACUGAG